UCUGUCAACUUGCAGUUCCUCAGAACUCUCUAGCGCCAGUCCUGCUAAAUGGACAUGGCUGUCCAACGCUGCUCCUGAUUGGUUGGUGUUUCCCGCCUUUCCAGGCUGUGUUUAAUGGAGGAGAGAGGAGAACUGCAUGGACUGAGGCCGUAAAGUGAUAUAAACAAACAAUUCCCACAUAAGCCAGGGGAUCAUCGUGGAAUCCGAAUGUUAAAACCAGUCUGGAUGGGAAUAUCAGGUGGUAUUAAAGUGGCUUCUUAGUUUUGAUGGAUGUCGGAAGGCAGGCAGCAGGACAUUAACACAGGGAGUCAGUAAGGGAGGCUGAGAAUACUGAGCAGAGAAACAGCUCCUGACUGCCGUGCUGUGUCUGAUCUCAGUGAUCUGCAGGUGGAGGCCAGUGUGCAUCAGUGUUUGACUCUAAUUUGAUGACGUCAGUGCUGACUGGCUGCUGCAGAACACCGCCCGGCGUCAGGGGACACGUCUGCUGGCUGAUUCACCCAAUCAGGACGCAGCCAGGUGGGCCACUGGGGAGGGCGGCACAUGGAGCAGCUGUGAGCUGAAGCUGG
Molecule: long non-coding RNA, 566 nt
Organism: Pygocentrus nattereri (red-bellied piranha)
Lineage: Eukaryota; Metazoa; Chordata; Actinopteri; Characiformes; Serrasalmidae
Exons: 3
Source: RefSeq, a predicted model, not a curated record